Molecule: long non-coding RNA, 98 nt
Organism: Scomber japonicus (chub mackerel)
Lineage: Eukaryota; Metazoa; Chordata; Actinopteri; Scombriformes; Scombridae
Exons: 3
Source: RefSeq, a predicted model, not a curated record
CUGGACACUCUCAGCCUGCAGCCUGCUGGAGAACGAUGGUUGACACCAGGUCUGAGGAAGUAUGCCUGUGAACUGGAACUGGAUCCAAACACAAUGAA